CAAACAAUGCAGACAGAGUAAGAGGAUUUGGAGGGAGAGCCAGAGGACGAGUUCGACUAAGAGGAGUUGGAAGGGGAGGAAGAGGACGAGUCAGAAAUGGAGGAGGACAUGGAACAAGAAGAGUGGUCUCAAAUGAGAUUAGGGCUACAGUAGUCGAUCAUGUGAUAAACCAUGGUUUAACAAUGAGAGAGGCUGGACUGAGAGUCCAGCCUAAUUUGAGUAGAUUUACUGUGGCGGGUAUAAUUCGAACCUUUAGAAAUGAGAACAGGUAUGUAACAAUCUAAUGUAAUGUACACAUGUUCUAAUGUACACAUAAUAGCUUUUUUACCAUAACAAACAGUAGGCCUAUACUAUAAUAAAUAUAUUUUACUGUAGUACCCUUGCAUUAAUUUACUACAGUGCAUUGCAUUGGUCACAGUUUGGUAAGGUAUCAAACUGUACAAUAAAACAGCCAACUUUAAGACAAUCUGACCAAAUUGUUAAAUAUUAUAUAUAUUGUUACAGUUUAUGGCACACACUUACUGUUCCUGAAUCUUUUACAGAGUGGAAAGGCAAAGGAUUCAUGGUGGGCGAGGUCACAUGUUCACUGAAGUGCAGGAGACGGCUAUUCUGAAUUUGGUUUUGGCCAAUAAUGCUAUUACAAUCCGUGAAAUACGCAACCAUAUCCUUAAUGAUGCCACAGUUUUUGCGAACAUAAAUGCUAGAGUUUUGGAGAUGGAUGCCCAUGCCAUUGUGCAUGAAUACAUUUAUGUGGAUGAGGUGGGCUUUAAUCUCAGUAAAACCAGAAGAAGGGGAAGGAAUGUCAUUGGACAAAGGGCCAUUGUCAAUGUCCCUGGACAACGUGGCGGAAACAUUACAAUGUGUGCUGCGAUUUCACAAAAUGGUGUCCUGCACCAUCACGCCACACUUGGCCCCUAUAACACUGAUCACAUCAUACAAUUUCUGGAAACUAUUCAUGACAUGCUUGUUCAGGGUCUGCAGAAUGAAGACCAGGCAAGAUUUGUCAUCAUCUGGGAUAAUGUCAGGUUUCAUCAUGCCCAUCAGGUCCAAAACUGGUUUGCUAUGCAUCCCCAUUUUUCUGUUGUCUACCUGCCUCCAUAUUCACCAUUUCUAAAUCCUAUUGAGGAAUUUUUCUCCACAUGGCGCUGGAAAGUGUACGAUCAUCGUCCCUAUGUUAACAUGACACUUCUCCAGGCAAUGGAGGAGGCAUGUGGAGACAUUGAUGCUGCCUCCAUCCAAGGUUGGAUACGUCAUACAAGAAGGUUCUUUCCACGGUGUCUGGCAAGAGAGAAUAUAGCAUGUGACGUGGAUGAAGUAUUGUGGCCGGAGCCAGCCCGGAGGAGAGAUGGAGCCUAGAUACACCCAACCAUCUCCACAUGCAAGCACACACAUUAUGUUUGGUUUUACACUACAUGCUACAACACUACAUAUUUUUGAUGUAUUUUUUUUUCUUUUCAAACUGUGUACACUAAUACUACAUUUACAACCACAAACAGCAAAAAAAUAAAAACAUAAAUAAAAAGUUUGGUUUCAAUUUUGCUUUUGUUUUUACUUUAUAUAUUCAACAGCUCUCUCCC
Molecule: long non-coding RNA, 1577 nt
Organism: Cyprinus carpio carpio
Lineage: Eukaryota; Metazoa; Chordata; Actinopteri; Cypriniformes; Cyprinidae
Source: Ensembl